UCCCCUAGUAACUGCGAGUGAAGCGGGAAAAGCUCAAAUUUAAAAUCUGGCGGUCUUUGGCCGUCCGAGUUGUAGUCUGGAGAAGUGCUUUCCGCGCUGGACCGUGUAUAAGUCUCUUGGAACAGAGCGUCAUAGAGGGUGAGAAUCCCGUCUUUGACACGGACUACCAGUGCUUUGUGAUGCGCUCUCAAAGAGUCGAGUUGUUUGGGAAUGCAGCUCAAAAUGGGUGGUGAAUUCCAUCUAAAGCUAAAUAUUGGCGAGAGACCGAUAGCGAACAAGUACCGUGAGGGAAAGAUGAAAAGCACUUUGGAAAGAGAGUUAAACAGUACGUGAAAUUGCUGAAAGGGAAACGCUUGAAGUCAGUCGCGUUGUCCGGAACUCAGCCUUGCUUUUGCUUGGUGCACUUUCCGGAUUGACGGGUCAGCAUCGAUUUUGACCGUCGGAAAAGGGCUGGAGUAAUGUGGCACCUCCGGGUGUGUUAUAGACUCCAGUCGCAUACGGCGGUUGGGAUCGAGGAACGCAGCGCGCCGCAAGGCAGGGGUUCGCCCACUUUCGCGCUUAGGAUGCUGGCAUAAUGGCUUUAAACGACCCGUCUUGAAACACGGACCAAGGAGUCUAACAUACCUGCGAGUGUUUGGGUGGAAAACCCGAGCGCGUAAUGAAAGUGAAAGUUGAGACCUCUGUCGUGGAGGGCAUCGACGCCCGGACCUGACGUUUACUGACGGUUCCGCGGUAGAGCAUGUAUGUUGGGACCCGAAAGAUGGUGAACUAUGCCUGAAUAGGGUGAAGCCAGAGGAAACUCUGGUGGAGGCUCGUAGCGAUUCUGACGUGCAAAUCGAUCGUCAAAUUUGGGUAUAGGGGCGAAAGACUAAUCGAACC
This 879-nucleotide ribosomal RNA is filed under the name Ganoderma ovisporum. RNAcentral's name for it is "partial large subunit ribosomal RNA". It matches the Rfam family "Eukaryotic large subunit ribosomal RNA", at positions 76 to 941 of the family's 3401-position model. The record is from RNAcentral. Lineage: Eukaryota; Fungi; Basidiomycota; Agaricomycetes; Polyporales; Polyporaceae.